ACAAACUUGGUCAUUUAGAGGAAGUAAAAGUCGUAACAAGGUUUCCGUAGUUAUAUAAGUCUGCAGGAGUAAAAUGAUUCCUUCCGCAGUGUACACUUAUCGAAGCCUUUGCAGCCACGCAAGUGGUAGACCCGAAGCGACUAUAAAUAAAUUUGGUGUUGCGAUGCAAGUCAGCAUUAUAUUACACAGCCUUGUUAGGCGUGCUGGCGACACUUUCGAAUUGACGGGGACACCCUAAAGCCUGUCACACCUUGUUUAUCUUUAACCUGUUGCUUUGGUGGGCCCGCUGUUAAGGCCGCUGGAGAAUUUGAAUGUUUUCUGGCCUGUGCCCACCAAAGUCUUAAUGAACUCUUUGUUGUCUUUUUGCUGUCUGAGCAUUAAAAAAAGCAAAUUUUUAAAACUUUCAACAACGGAUCUCUUGGUUCUGGCAUCGAUGAAGAACGCAGC
This 447-nucleotide unclassified non-coding RNA is filed under the name uncultured fungus. RNAcentral describes it as "partial contains small subunit ribosomal RNA, internal transcribed spacer 1, and 5.8S ribosomal RNA". The stretch from base 399 to 447 matches the Rfam family "5.8S ribosomal RNA", at positions 1 to 49 of the family's 154-position model. Lineage: Eukaryota; Fungi. The record is from RNAcentral.